GUCUUCUUGGUGGAGUUGGUUACCACGUGAGUCUCAUAUUGAUUUAUGAUGUUGCCCGCGCAACAGCGAUCUCAAGGUCGCCAGUUCGAUCCUGGCAGAGGACA
This is a non-coding RNA of Violaceomyces palustris, 104 nucleotides long. The record is from the annotation of a GenBank genome assembly. Lineage: Eukaryota; Fungi; Basidiomycota; Ustilaginomycetes; Violaceomycetales; Violaceomycetaceae.